RNAcentral lists this unclassified non-coding RNA (253 nucleotides) under uncultured Alphaproteobacteria bacterium. RNAcentral describes it as "contains 16S-23S intergenic spacer region". It matches the Rfam family "Bacterial small subunit ribosomal RNA", at positions 524 to 776 of the family's 1533-position model. The record is from RNAcentral. Lineage: Bacteria; Pseudomonadati; Pseudomonadota; Alphaproteobacteria.
UACGAAGGGGGCUAGCGUUGUUCGGAAUCACUGGGCGUAAAGCGCACGUAGGCGGAUCUUUAAGUCAGGGGUGAAAUCCCGGGGCUCAACCUCGGAACUGCCUUUGAUACUGGGGAUCUCGAGUCCGGGAGAGGUGAGUGGAAUUGCGAGUGUAGAGGUGAAAUUCGUAGAUAUUCGCAAGAACACCAGUGGCGAAGGCGGCUCACCGGCCCGGUACUGACGCUGAGGUGCGAAAGCGUGGGGAGCGAACAGG